This 23-nucleotide non-coding RNA is filed under the name Cricetulus griseus (Chinese hamster). Lineage: Eukaryota; Metazoa; Chordata; Mammalia; Rodentia; Cricetidae. RNAcentral also lists the same sequence under 1 other name. The record is from RNAcentral.
GCCCAUAACCCAGAGGUCGAUGG